This 253-nucleotide ribosomal RNA is filed under the name uncultured bacterium. RNAcentral describes it as "partial 16S ribosomal RNA". It matches the Rfam family "Bacterial small subunit ribosomal RNA", at positions 524 to 776 of the family's 1533-position model. The record is from RNAcentral.
GACAGAGGUGCCAAGCGUUAGGCGGAAUCACUGGGCUUAAAGCGUGUGUAGGCGGAUCGUUAAGUACCUUGUGAAAUCCCACGGCUCAACCGUGGAACUGCUGGGUAUACUGGCGGUCUUGAGCCACCUAGGGGCAACUGGAACAAGCGGUGGAGCGGUGAAAUGCGUAGAUACUGGGAGGAACACCGGUGGCGAAGGCGGCUACCUGGACGGGUACUGACGCUGAGGCGCGAAAGCUAGGGGAGCAAACAGG